UGGGGAAUAUUGCACAAUGGGGGAAACCCUGAUGCAGCGACGCCGCGUGAGCAAAGAAGGUUUUCGAAUCGUAAAGCUCUGUCCUAUGAGAAGAUAAUGACGGUAUCAUAGGAGGAAGCCCCGGCUAAAUACGUGCCAGCAGCCGCGGUAAUACGUAUGGGGCGAGCGUUGUCCGGAAUUAUUGGGCGUAAAGGGUACGUAGGCGGUCUAUUAAGUCAGGUGUGAAAGCGUGAGGCUUAACCUCAUUAAGCACUUGAAACUGAUAGACUUGAGUGAAGGAGAGGAAAGUGGAAUUCCUAGUGUAGCGGUGAAAUGCGUAGAUAUUAGGAGGAAUACCGGUGGCGAAGGCGACUUUCUGGACUUUUACUGACGCUCAGGUACGAAAGCGUGGGGAGCAAACAGG
RNAcentral lists this ribosomal RNA (403 nucleotides) under Verrucomicrobiota bacterium. RNAcentral's name for it is "Verrucomicrobia bacterium partial 16S ribosomal RNA". It matches the Rfam family "Bacterial small subunit ribosomal RNA", at positions 355 to 776 of the family's 1533-position model. The record is from RNAcentral. Lineage: Bacteria; Pseudomonadati; Verrucomicrobiota.